UACGGGGGGGGCAAGCGUUGUUCGGAAUUACUGGGCGUAAAGGGUUCGUAGGUGGCCAACUAAGUCAGACGUGAAAUCCCUCAGCUUAACUGGGGAACUGCGUCUGAUACUGGAUGGCUUGAGUGUAGGAGAGGAAUGCGGAAUUCCAGGUGUAGCGGUGAAAUGCGUAGAUAUCUGGAGGAACACCGGUGGCGAAGGCGGCAUUCUGGACUACAACUGACACUGAGGAACGAAAGCCAGGGGAGCAAACGGG
This 253-nucleotide ribosomal RNA is filed under the name uncultured bacterium. RNAcentral's name for it is "partial 16S ribosomal RNA". It matches the Rfam family "Bacterial small subunit ribosomal RNA", at positions 524 to 776 of the family's 1533-position model. The record is from RNAcentral.